This 1151-nucleotide ribosomal RNA is filed under the name human gut metagenome. RNAcentral's name for it is "bacterial SSU rRNA". It matches the Rfam family "Bacterial small subunit ribosomal RNA", at positions 351 to 1520 of the family's 1533-position model. The record is from RNAcentral.
GCAGUGGGGAAUAUUGCACAAUGGGCGCAAGCCUGAUGCAGCAACGCCGCGUGAAGGAAGACGGUUUUCGGAUUGUAAACUUCUGUUCUUAGUGAAGAAUAAUGACGGUAGCUAAGGAGCAAGCCACGGCUAACUACGUGCCAGCAGCCGCGGUAAUACGUAGGUGGCAAGCGUUGUCCGGAAUUACUGGGUGUAAAGGGAGCGCAGGCGGGUGAUCAAGUCAGCUGUGAAAACUACGGGCUUAACCCGUAGACUGCAGUUGAAACUGUUCAUCUUGAGUGAAGUGCAGAGGUUGGCGGAAUUCCGAGUGUAGCGGUGAAAUGCGUAGAUAUUCGGAGGAACACCGGUGGCGAAGGCGGCCAACUGGGCUUUAACUGACGCUGAGGCUCGAAAGUGUGGGGAGCAAACAGGAUUAGAUACCCUGGUAGUCCACACUGUAAACGAUGAUUGCUAGGUGUGGGGGGUCUGACCCCUUCCGUGCCGGAGCUAACGCAAUAAGCAAUCCACCUGGGGAGUACGACCGCAAGGUUGAAACUCAAAGGAAUUGACGGGGACCCGCACAAGCAGUGGAUUAUGUGGUUUAAUUCGAAGCAACGCGAAGAACCUUACCAGCACUUGACAUCCAACUAACGAAAUAGAGAUAUAUUAGGUGCCUUUCGGGGAAAGUUGAGACAGGUGGUGCAUGGUUGUCGUCAGCUCGUGUCGUGAGAUGUUGGGUUAAGUCCCGCAACGAGCGCAACCCUCGCCAUUAGUUGCUACGCAAGAGCACUCUAAUGGGACCGCUACCGACAAGGUGGAGGAAGGUGGGGACGACGUCAAAUCAUCAUGCCCCUUAUGUGCUGGGCUACACACGUAAUACAAUGGCCAUCAACAGAGAGAAGCAAUACCGCGAGGUGGAGCAAAACUUCAAAAAUGGUCUCAGUUCGGACUGCAGGCUGCAACCCGCCUGCACGAAGUUGGAAUUGCUAGUAAUCGUGGAUCAGCAUGCCACGGUGAAUACGUUCCCGGGUCUUGUACACACCGCCCGUCACACCAUGGGAGCCGGUAACACCCGAAGUCAGUAGUCUAACCGCAAGGAGGACGCUGCCGAAGGUGGGAUUGGCGACUGGGGUGAAGUCGUAACAAGGUAGCCGUAUCGGAAGGUGCGGCUG